Molecule: unclassified non-coding RNA, 421 nt
Filed under: uncultured fungus
Lineage: Eukaryota; Fungi
Description: sequence contains ITS2
Rfam family: 5.8S ribosomal RNA (bases 1-153)
Source: RNAcentral
AACUUUUAGCAAUGGAUCACUUGGCUCUCGCAUCGAUGAAGAACGCAGCGAAAUGCGAUAAGUAAUGUGAAUUGCAGAAUUGUGAAUCAUCGAAUCUUUGAACGCACAUUGCGCCUUUUGGUAAUUCCAAAGGGCAUACCUGUUUGAGCGUCAUUUCACUCUUAAAUCGUUUGAUUUAGUAUUGAACUUAUAUUUUUCUGUUGCAAAAUAGAAAAUAGUUUGAAAUUGAUUUGGCAAGAAGCAAUAUCCAGUUUGAAGCUUUCUUUUUACAACGUAAUAGGUUUUACCAACUCGUUGGCUAGUAAGGAGCUUUGUUAUAUUUGGAUAUAUCGCUUUGGCGUUAUAAUUUUUAAAAUUAAAAGUUUGACCUCAAAUCAGGUAAGACUACCCGCUGAACUUAAGCAUAUCAAUAAGCGGAGGC